GCAAACUUGGUCAUUUAGAGGAAGUACAAGUCGUAACAAGGUAUCCGUAGGUGAACCUGCGGAUGGAUCAUUACCAAGAGUACCACUCUGCGUACUGUGAACUGCACUGCUGCGGAGGCUGUCGGCGGCGCAUGCUGCCGGCGAUGCCGAGCCGAACGUAUCUGCUGUGAUCUUACAUGUGUUGUUGAAACAAACAACUUUUAGCAAUGGAUCUCUUGGCUCUCUAGAGGAAGUACAAGUCGUAACAAGGUAUCCGUAGGUGAACCUGCGGAUGGAUCAUUACCAAGAGUACCACUCUGCGUACUGUGAACUGCACUGCUGCGGAGGCUGUCGGCGGCGCAUGCUGCCGGCGAUGCCGAGCCGAACGUAUCUGCUGUGAUCUUACAUGUGUUGUUGAAACAAACAACUUUUAGCAAUGGAUCUCUUGGCUCUCGCAUCGAUGAAGAACGCAGC
This 453-nucleotide unclassified non-coding RNA is filed under the name uncultured fungus. RNAcentral describes it as "partial contains small subunit ribosomal RNA, internal transcribed spacer 1, and 5.8S ribosomal RNA". The stretch from base 1 to 73 matches the Rfam family "Eukaryotic small subunit ribosomal RNA", at positions 1759 to 1831 of the family's 1831-position model. Lineage: Eukaryota; Fungi. The record is from RNAcentral.